AUUCCAGCUCCAAGAGCGUAUAUUAAAGUUGCUGCGGUUAAAAAGCUCGUAGUUGGAUUUCAGUCUAGGAAGGUUAACUCGCCGAAAGGUUGUACGUUGAUUUUCCUCAGACUUCGUCAGAAGCUCGUGCUGCACUUAACUGUGUGGUACGAUGUUCUGACCUUCUACCUUGAGGAAAGUAGAGUGUUUCAGGCAGGCUACCCAGCUUGAAUACAUUAGCAUGGAAUAAUGAAAUGGAUCUCGGUUCGAUUUCGUUGGUUCUAGAGCUGAGGUGAUGAUCAAUAGGAACAGGCGAAGGUAUUCGUACUUGAGAGUGAGGAGUGAAAUCCGAUGAUCUCUUAAAGACGAUCCGAGGCGAAAGCAUUUGUCAAGGAUGUUUUCAUUA
RNAcentral lists this ribosomal RNA (385 nucleotides) under Eukaryota sp. RNAcentral's name for it is "partial small subunit ribosomal RNA". It matches the Rfam family "Eukaryotic small subunit ribosomal RNA", at positions 582 to 975 of the family's 1831-position model. The record is from RNAcentral.